GGGCCGGUCGUCUAGUUUGGACACCUAGUCAGGUGGAACAAUUAGGAUAUCUGCCUGACACGCAGAAGGUCCCCGGUUCAAGUCCGGGCCGGCCCA
This 96-nucleotide transfer RNA is filed under the name Candidatus Bathyarchaeota archaeon. RNAcentral describes it as "tRNA-Val". It matches the Rfam family "tRNA". From Rfam's summary of the family: Transfer RNA (tRNA) molecules are approximately 80 nucleotides in length. Their secondary structure includes four short double-helical elements and three loops (D, anti-codon, and T loops). Further hydrogen bonds mediate the characteristic L-shaped molecular structure. tRNAs have two regions of fundamental functional importance: the anti-codon, which is responsible for specific mRNA codon recognition, and the 3' end, to which the tRNAs corresponding amino acid is attached (by aminoacyl-tRNA synthetases). tRNAs cope with the degeneracy of the genetic code in two manners: having more than one tRNA (with a specific anti-codon) for a particular amino acid; and 'wobble' base-pairing, i.e. permitting non-standard base-pairing at the 3rd anti-codon position. Lineage: Archaea; Thermoproteati; Candidatus Bathyarchaeota. The record is from RNAcentral.